GAUGAACGCUGGCGGCGUGCCUAAUACAUGCAAGUCGAGCGAACGGACGAGAAGCUUGCUCCUCUGAUGUUAGCGGCGGACGGGUGAGUAACACGUGGAUAACCUACCUAUAAGACUGGGAUAACUUCGGGAAACCGGAGCUAAUACCGGAUGAUAUUUUGAACCGCAUGGUUCAAUAGUGAAAGACGGUCUUGCUGUCACUUAUAGAUGGAUCCGCGCUGCAUUAGCUAGUUGGUAAGGUAACGGCUUACCAAGGCAACGAUGCGUAGCCGACCUGAGAGGGUGAUCGGCCACACUGGAACUGAGACACGGUCCAGACUCCUACGGGAGGCAGCAGUAGGGAAUCUUCCGCAAUGGGCGAAAGCCUGACGGAGCAACGCCGCGUGAGUGAUGAAGGUCUUCGGAUCGUAAAACUCUGUUAUUAGGGAAGAACAUAUGUGUAAGUAACUAUGCACGUCUUGACGGUACCUAAUCAGAAAGCCACGGCUAACUACGUG
RNAcentral lists this ribosomal RNA (497 nucleotides) under uncultured bacterium. Its description in RNAcentral is "partial 16S ribosomal RNA". It matches the Rfam family "Bacterial small subunit ribosomal RNA", at positions 28 to 507 of the family's 1533-position model. The record is from RNAcentral.